AGUUAGUGGCAGACGGGUGAGUAAUGCAUAGGAAUCUACCUAGUAGUAUGGGAUAGCCACUAGAAAUGGUGGGUAAUACUGUAUAAUCCCUGCGGGGGAAAGAUUUAUCGCUAUUAAAUGAGCCUAUGUUAGAUUAGCUAGUUGGUAGGGUAAAGGCCUACCAAGGCAGUGAUCUAUAGCUGGUCUGAGAGGAUGAUCAGCCACACUGGAACUGAGAUACGGUCCAGACUCCUACGGGAGGCAGCAGUGGGGAAUAUUGGACAAUGGGCGCAAGCCUGAUCCAGCUAUGCCGCGUGAGUGAGGAAGGCCUUAGGGUUGUAAAACUCUUUCAGUGGGGAAGAUAAUGACGGUACCCACAGAAGAAGUCCCGGCAAACUCCGUGCCAGCAGCCGCGGUAAUACGGAGGGGGCAAGCGUUGUUCGGAAUUAUUGGGCGUAAAGGGCAUGUAGGCGGUUCGGUAAGUUAAAGGUGAAAUGCCAGGGCUUGACCCUGGAGCUGCUUUUAAUACUGC
RNAcentral lists this ribosomal RNA (511 nucleotides) under uncultured Anaplasma sp. RNAcentral's name for it is "bacterial SSU rRNA". It matches the Rfam family "Bacterial small subunit ribosomal RNA", at positions 90 to 636 of the family's 1533-position model. Lineage: Bacteria; Pseudomonadati; Pseudomonadota; Alphaproteobacteria; Rickettsiales; Anaplasmataceae. The record is from RNAcentral.